Molecule: long non-coding RNA, 600 nt
Filed under: Pan troglodytes (chimpanzee)
Lineage: Eukaryota; Metazoa; Chordata; Mammalia; Primates; Hominidae
Description: lincRNA
Source: RNAcentral
CAAUUGUCCUAAUAGCCACCAUGGAUUGGAUGGAUGCUAACAACAGGCGCAGAGUUCUCCAUCUGUUGCCUCCUUUUAUCCACAUGAGAAUAAAACAAGACUACUGAUUAAAUGAAGCCUUUGAUGAAGUGCAUGCAGUUUGUAGCUUGAUUCGUGGGAAUACUCAUCACUGACUGAAAGUGUAACCCAGGGUCUCUGGGUUUUUGGGAAUGCACUGUGUAAAAGUAUCUACUUGUAACUGUUACUCCCUGAGUUGUUGUUGUUUUAUAAAGUUCCAAGAAGAAGCUUAGCCUUGGAAAAAACAAAAACUGGUUGAAUCCAGAAGUGGAGAUGAAUUUUGGCCAACGCUCCUCACUGCCUCACUAAAAACCCUGCUCAGAGAGGAGCUUAUUCACCAUGUUCUAUUCAUGCAAUGUGUGUGGAAACAUGAUCUACAACAGCAUGCGUGCUGCCUUCACCCUACCUCUACAUACAAUGACUCAUUUAAUCUGCUGAAUAAAAGCCCUAUUUUCACCUUUGCUGGGGGAGGUGCUGCUUUGGGAACUAUUUGCAGUGUCCUCUUCACUUUUUGCAAGUAAUAGAAUACCCUUGUUAAAUCCU